GAGAGUUUGAUCAUGGCUCAGAUUGAACGCUGGCGGCGUGCCUAACACAUGCAAGUCGAGCGGUAACAGGUGUAGCAAUACAUGCUGACGAGCGGCGAACGGGUGAGUAAUGCAUUGGAAUCUUCCUAGUAGUGGGGAAUAACCAGUCGAAAGAUUGGCUAAUACCGCAUACGUCCGAGAGGGGAAAGCGGGGGACCGUA
This 200-nucleotide ribosomal RNA is filed under the name uncultured bacterium. RNAcentral describes it as "partial 16S ribosomal RNA". It matches the Rfam family "Bacterial small subunit ribosomal RNA", at positions 7 to 212 of the family's 1533-position model. The record is from RNAcentral.